UGGAAGUAAAAGUCGUAACAAGGUCUCCGUUGGUGAACCAGCGGAGGGAUCAUUACCGAGUUUACAACUCCCAAACCCCUGUGAACAUACCACUUGUUGCCUCGGCGGAUCAGCCCGCUCCCGGUAAAACGGGACGGCCCGCCAGAGGACCCCUAAACUCUGUUUCUAUAUGUAACUUCUGAGUAAAACCAUAAAUAAAUCAAAACUUUCAACAACGGAUCUCUUGGUUCUGGCAUCGAUGAAGAACGCAGCAAAAUGCGAUAAGUAAUGUGAAUUGCAGAAUUCAGUGAAUCAUCGAAUCUUUGAACGCACAUUGCGCCCGCCAGUAUUCUGGCGGGCAUGCCUGUUCGAGCGUCAUUUCAACCCUCAAGCACAGCUUGGUGUUGGGACUCGCGUUAAUUCGCGUUCCCCAAAUUGAUUGGCGGUCACGUCGAGCUUCCAUAGCGUAGUAGUAAAACCCUCGUUACUGGUAAUCGUCGCGGCCACGCCGUUAAACCCCAACUUCUGAAUGUUGACCUCGGAUCAGGUAGGAAUACCCGCUGAACUUAAGCAUAUCAAU
RNAcentral lists this ribosomal RNA (559 nucleotides) under Fusarium oxysporum. RNAcentral describes it as "eukaryotic LSU rRNA". The stretch from base 204 to 357 matches the Rfam family "5.8S ribosomal RNA". Lineage: Eukaryota; Fungi; Ascomycota; Sordariomycetes; Hypocreales; Nectriaceae. The record is from RNAcentral.